RNAcentral lists this ribosomal RNA (449 nucleotides) under uncultured bacterium. RNAcentral's name for it is "partial 16S ribosomal RNA". It matches the Rfam family "Bacterial small subunit ribosomal RNA", at positions 338 to 795 of the family's 1533-position model. The record is from RNAcentral.
CCUACGGGUGGCUGCAGUGGGGAAUAUUGGACAAUGGGCGCAAGCCUGAUCCAGCAAUACCGCGUGUGUGAAGAAGGCCCUAGGGUUGUAAAGCACUUUCAAUUGGGAGGAAAACCUGUCGGUCAAUACCCGGCAGCUUGACAUUACCUUUAGAAGAAGCACCGGCUAACUCCGUGCCAGCAGCCGCGGUAAUACGGAGCGUGCAAACGUUAAUCGGAGUGUCCGGGCGCGAAGCGUUAAGUGGCGUGUGAAAGCCCCGGGCUUAACCUGGGAACUGCAUUUGAAACUGGCGGACUUGAGUUGAGUAGAGGGGAGUGGAAUUUCAGGUGUAGCGGUGAAAUGCGUAGAUAUCUGAAGGAACACCAGUGGCGAAGGCGACUCCCUGGACUCAAACUGACGCUGAGGUACGAAAGCGUGGGUAGCAAACAGGAUUAGAUACCCGGGUAGUC